AAGAAAAAAAAAGGAACAUUAUAAACAUUUUAAUAACAUUAUUUUAUAUAUUUGUUGUAUUUUCAAAACGCUUGACUGUGUUUCACUUGUUUGCCCGGAGUUGUAUUUUCGGCGUCAUGUUACCAUGAGAACCACAGCGCAGUUUUUCCAAUGGAUUUAAAAAAAAAAAAAGGGAUCACCCUGGCCUUGCUGUUGACAUGCGGAGAGCAGCAGGGCUAUUCCACUGUCUGUCUUCAAGAGGAAAACUAGCUCUGCCACUGCUGAGGGACUGAACACGAGGAGGACAGAAAGAGAGAGAGAGAGAGAGAGAGAGAGAGAGAGAGAGAGAGAGAGAGAGAGAAGAGGAAAGAGCAUUGAAGAACAAGCAUUGGAGAGUUGUCAUCCUUCAUUAGCCUCCACUGGAAACCUCAGAUUUGAACAGAAUGAAGCCCCCAGUCAAGGAGGAUGAGAGCGGAGAGCAGAGAGGGGGCUCGCUGCAGGUGGAAAAGGAGUCCACAGGGAAGGGGCCCCCUCGGGACAGGGAGAUGGAGCUGGAGGAGGAGGGGGAGAGUGACAGCCAGGCAGAGAACUGCAACGGGGGCCGCAACGCUGGCAAAGCCCCCUGCAAGAAAAAGAAGAAGAAAAAAAAGAGGUAA
This is a long non-coding RNA of Polyodon spathula (Mississippi paddlefish), 635 nucleotides long. RefSeq lists it as uncharacterized. The transcript is spliced from 3 exons. NCBI's taxonomy places the organism in Eukaryota, Metazoa, Chordata, Actinopteri, Acipenseriformes, Polyodontidae. The record is from RefSeq and is a predicted model, not a curated record.